This 4587-nucleotide long non-coding RNA is filed under the name Chinchilla lanigera (long-tailed chinchilla). Its description in RNAcentral is "lncRNA (ENSCLAG00000029022.1)". The record is from RNAcentral. Lineage: Eukaryota; Metazoa; Chordata; Mammalia; Rodentia; Chinchillidae.
UGGGGAAUGCGCCAAUGCCAAAAGAGCUCAGGCUCAGUACGUCGUGUUGAUAGAUGGACCAAAAAACCGGAAGGAUAAAGUGAAAAUCCAACGACCUGUUUUAUUUCGCUCGUUCCAGCGCCCACACACUGGUUUUCUGAAAGUUCCUCCAGCUGUCUCACUUCCCUACUGUAAUGACUGAGGCUCAUGACAUUCUUCUACGUCAAAGCGCAGACAGUCCUGCCUGUGCCCUGCACAAACGUCUUCGAGCAGGACCAGGGAAAGGCCGAGCCCAGACCUCAGCGACGUCUUCAGACCGCAGCUUCCCAACACCCUCGGGAAGAAGGUGUCCCUGAGAUUGGCCAGGCCAGCCUUGCGGUUUGAGGCGGUGAGUCACCUUCUGGCGGCAAGUCAAGGCGCGCUCACUGCGCCCUUGUUUGGAGAGGACAGGAGCCACACUCAGAGGCCCAGAGACAGAAGGGCGGUUAGGAGUCGCCGAGGCCCUAAGAGAGACAGGAAGCACACACAGACAGAAGGACCACAACGACCCGAGCCAGGACCGGCGCGCACAGAGAGAUGAGAAACACAGACGCAGCCAGACCCAGAGCAAAGAGAGCGAGCAGAGGGAGAGACAGGGAGAGGGGGCGCGCCCGGGAGCCGAGGGAGGCGACGUGCAAUCGCCUGGAGGUGGCCGGAGCCCCUGCGCACGCUCCUCGAUCCCCGCCACCUCCCCCACCCGACGUGAGCGAAAGCGAAGCCAAUGAGCUGCCAGAGCCGGGCAUUACCUCACCAGAACUGGCCGCCAUUGGUUGGCCCGGUCGCCGGGCGGGCUGUUGCUACAACAGCCCAGCCUGGUUGCGGAGGGCUGCUGGAGCUGCGAGGAAGGAAGGCUCUGAGGAAGAGAUUGUUGUCCCCACCUCUUCCCAUCCUCUGGCGGGGCCCACGGAUCCCGACUCAGGCCCCAAGGGGAAAAGCAAGCUCGUGUAGCCUCAGGGACCAGAACUCCUCCCACGCCGCCCAUCACCCGGGCCCCGCCACAACCUGCCUGCUUUCGGGUGUCAAGCCCACCCCACACCCGAAGGCCCGCAGCCCUUCACUGCGCGCCCAGUUCGCGCACCGUGCAAACAGCAACGCGCGCCAUCAGCAGCCAGGGGCCGCGCGGGGCUGUGUAGGGACAGAGACCAGCACGCCUCCGCCUCCGUCGCUGCCUCUGGCACCCACCCCCGUCAGAACAGGCAAAAGCUUUGUAUUUAUAGGGAACUCUCCAGGGAGGACAACUGAGUCACCCAGAGAUACCUUCCACUCCUGGGUCCUUAGCCAAGUCACCAUGUUUACGCUAUCAGAACAUCUAACCCUCCAUAGUCGGGGGCCACCACGGCGGGACAGAAGCCUGGGACAAUAAAACAAGCCCCUGGGUGCCACAGGCUCUUCCCCUUCAUAACAGGUAUGUUGCUUCUCAUCUCUAUUGUGUCCCUGUGACAUAAGGUCCCUCUUCUCUUGUCAACCCCGCCAUACCCCAAGAUGAUUUUGUUUAAUGUCAUUAAAUGAUAAGAUUUUGUUUAAUGUCAUUACAAACACUGGGAAACGAUUCAGCUCUCCCUGCUCAAAGAACCAGCUUUGGGGCAGCUUUGUGAAGGUUAAGCUUUAGUUCAGAGGAGGUUAAUACAUAGCAGAGCUGAGCUGUUGGGGACAUUAGCUGUCAUUGUCUUUUUGGUUUUGUUUUGUUUUGUUUUUCUUUUUGAAACAGGAUCUCGCUAUGCAGUUCAGCUGGCCUUGAGCUCACUUUGUAGAGACCAGGCUGGUCUCAAACUCGCAACAAUCCUCCUGCCUCAGCCUCCAGAGUGUUGGGAUUACAAGUGUGCACCACCACGCCCAGCAACAUUGUCUCUUUGCAUCCUCGAUUUUACAUUGUGAAAACUGGGGAUCAGAGGAGGAAGAGGUACCCCAACUUUGAAGGCACCCCCAGUAAGGCCCUGCCAGCCCCAAAAGGCUAAAGCUGGCUUCUCCUCUAGGGUAUGCUGGUGUUACUAGAUGGUUUCUACCUCCUGGGUGCCAGGCCAGGAAGUGCUCCACACAGGAAGUACCACUUCCGUUUGUCAAGGAGAAACCGGAAGUCCAUUUGAGUCAGCAGCCUGCUCAGGGGUACAGCACCUGAUUCCGAAGGUGUGGAAGGCUUCUUCGUGCCAGUAUGUAGGUCUGCCUGCCGCUGUUUGCUGAGGGCACAUGAACAAGUUGCAGCGAGGUUUCCUCAUGACGAUGGAACGGGAUGAGGUUAGCACCAGCUGACAAAGGAAACCUUGAGGUCAUGGGCAUAGCCGGGCGAUACCAGGUAACUUGGUUUGAGACCCUUUUGCAACAGCAGUAAAAUGACUGAAUUUUCUCUCUGGCUUGAGGCUUAGAACUUGAGUGUCUUUUGGGCUGAUUUAUGUGGCUGCCACACUGAUGAGACAGUUUGCCCUCCAUCCAGGAGCUGCAACCAAGGAGUGGGGUUUGGGGGUCUCAGUGUGUGCAGAGACCCUGGGAUGCAAAACUGCCUGGAUGUCAACAUCUGUGGGCUCUGAAGGAGUCGCCGUUCUCUACCCUGGACGGGCAGAUGGUCCUCCAUCUUGGGUUCUUGCCUAGCUCUGGAAAAGGCUAUGACUGAAUUGGGGGGAAAAGUUAUUUCUGGUCAGGAAAAUUCUUGACUCCAGCUCUGCACAUUUUUGUUCCUAGGUCUUAGCUCUGGGUAUUUUUGUUUUCCUUCCUGUACCAGGAAUCGAACUCACGACCUUGUGCUUGCCAGGCAGGCGCUGUGCUGCUGAGCUAAAUCCCCAGCCCCCCUAGGUCUCAGCUCUGGAAGCACUCCAUCCUAAGCUAUAGAAAACACUUGUUUUUGUUUUUUUUUUCAAUACUGGCGGUUGAACUCAGGACCUUGCACUUGCCAGGCAGGCACUUAUGCCAUUGAGCUAUAUCCCCAGCCCCCUAGAAAACACUCUCUUUAUGACCAUGAGAAACACUCUGCCCAGGACUCUAAAAAAAAACACAGUGUCCAAAAAUCUAGAAGAGCUUCUACCAUAAGAUCUGGAAAACCCACUGCCAGGGCCGCCCUGACUCUGGAGGUCUCUGAGCCCCGUGUGCGGUGGUAAAUGAGGAACGGGGGCUCUUGGCUGGAGGGGGCUGUGGACGGGUAGUGCUUCCCGAUUUCCGGCUUGUACACAUGCAUGGCAGGUUUCACUGUCACGGGGACAGCACUGAAGAGAGAACUGGGAGAGGACACGUACACUGGCUUCCAACCAUCACAAGGUUGGGGCCGUUCUGUGAACGUAGAGGACUCUGACCCCUGAAUGUGGGGACUGCUGGGGCCCUGGGCUGGACAGAGUCCAGCCCCUGGGUGUGGAGGAAUCUAAGACAUGCACGUGGCUAACUCCUUGUCCCUUGAUUUAUGACAUCCCUCUCUAAGCCAACAACUUCAAUUCAAGGGGCCAUGAAAAGCAGGAAUGUUCAGAAAACCUGACAUUCCCGAUGUCCUCCUAUGUCCUGCCACUGUCCCAGUGGUCUUGAUAACACACAUGCAUCAAGGCAUUUUCUCCCAUCCAGGAGGCCUGGACUUUGAGCACUGGGAGGUGAGGCCCAUUUUCUAGCUGACAUCUGAGUGGAAAGAGUGUCUGUCACAGUUCCCUGACACCGUCUCAGCAGAGGGGGCCCAGGAGAUGGAUGCAGGGUGCCAGUUUUGAUGGGGGGCAGGGGUCAGCGUGAAAUUGGAGGGCCUACCAGGUUGUACACACCAGUAACAAGGCUAGGGGGCCUAGCUGAAAUGGGGCAUGUGUGUCAAGGGACACCACCUGGUUUGGCAGAAAAAAGACCUGGGCCCUUGAGACUAAUGGAUAUGCCCCAUGAGCUAAGCAAAGCAGCAAUGUCACCGCAGCAUGUGGACAAUGACACCCCGCCCCUGCUCCAAAUGCCCCAUCAUGAGCUCUGGGGCCAUUGUGCAGCCGCCAUGCUAGACAGAUCCUGCCCUGCUCUGGAAAACACGUUCCCCUUCCCCCAGGAAGGGCCUCCAACAGCCCUGGUCUCACAGAGCCUCUGCGGCUCUGAGAAAACCCCAGGGAGGCUCCACUCCUGCCUCCGGAACACAUGUGGACCCUGACUUUGGAGAGGCUCCCUCUGACAAAUGCGGGAAAAAGCACUUUGUAAAACUAAAAGGCUGAGCCUGGCAUGCGGCAGAUGCCAGCUAAACGUGUGUGGAAUGAAGGAGUGGUCCUGCGAGAGCUUUGCAAACUGCAACGCACAGCGCGAGCCUCAGAUAUUAUUCUUACUGUGACUAAAUAAAGCAGCUAUCAGGGGCAUUAUGGGAAAUUCCAUAUUUCUCCCUAACGAGAUCUUUUUCUUCUGGGUUCUCACUAGAAGGGGAGCGUGGGGCUUGGCUCACUGUGGGUAUCAAUAAACGUUUGACAAAUGGAUGGACUCAUGGAUGGAUAAACGAGGGAUCUAUGGACGGAUGCAUCGCUGUGCAGACGGGGAGUGAAUGGAAAGAUGGAUGGAGCACCUGACACAUUUGCCUACCCAACAGCCGCCUCCCUCUUCCCCUGCCUUCUUCUUUGCUAAAUGAGUCCUGAUUUUAUUCUAUCC